Molecule: non-coding RNA, 940 nt
Organism: Danio rerio (zebrafish)
Lineage: Eukaryota; Metazoa; Chordata; Actinopteri; Cypriniformes; Danionidae
Source: RefSeq, a predicted model, not a curated record
CCCAGAGCUCUAUCGGAUAACGCACCUCUCUGCCUCAGGAGAUGGAAGUCGAGGAACAAAUUACACCGCGUUCUUGCAACUGUCUUCAUAGACAGAAAGGAAAUAUGGAGAAAACUAUUCACAGAUGGCAAUGUUGGAGAUCUGAUAGCCUUAGUCAAACAGGUCUCAACUAUCUUUUGAUUGAAUAUUGAAAUUUGACAGAUUUUCAAGUUCAUUGACACUGAUGUAAAUGCAGGAGUAAAGGAGCUUGGCAAAUUUCAAAUAUAUUAUAUUGCAAGCAACACCCCGGACUCAUUAGAAAGAAGUGUGCACUCAUUACAGUGUCCUUUAACAGAUUCAACUCAGACUGGCAACACAACUAGUUUGCUGACGCUGCUUGAAGAAAAGCCUCUUCAAUCCUGAGAGAACAUGAAGACUGUCAAAAAGUUGCUGUCAGUGUCCUUGUAGAGAAACAUGGAUUCUAUCCUUCUGGUAUAGAAAAGCUGGUACUAGCAAAAGAGAUUCUGUCAUUGUUCCCCUCAGGUGCCCUUUGGUGAAAAUGAGGGACAUGAGAAUGCCAUCACACAGUCGGACGGAGGCUUCAACAGAGCCAAUGGGUGUACAGUUUAAAACAUCAUCAUUGUACACCGCAACCUUCUUCACCAAGUCCAGAUGAAACCGUACCAAGUGAGUUGUUGUCUCUGAUAAAGAAGAUGCGACCAGACAAUUUAUCAUCAAUAAAGACUGCAAUCAAUCAAACCUUCAGUUACAGAAGAAGAUGGAUAACAACAAAAUCCCUUCAAAAUCUCUUGCUGAAAUCUUCAAGGACUAUCCCAGAUUUCUUGACAUGCCAGCUUUGAUGGACAUUGAAUUUUCCAAGCUCACAGAUAGGAACGAAGACUUGUUUAUCCAGAAAAGGGAAGGGACGAUAAUUCCAGAACUCAAAGAAAUAGCAUCUUGG